GGCUAGCAUGUGACCUGAAGCUGGUCUCUAAUUGGUUUCUUAAAGAUUCUCCUCCGGACGCACCUCGCUGCGUCCCUGGCAAAUCAGAAUUGGAGAUAUGUUAUUUUAUCCAAUCUGAUUGGUUCUCAACACCUGUCAUUCAACUCUUCCCCCGGCCGCUACUGGAGAGUGAACGUGGACACAAUAGUAGAGCCAGCAGGUAGCUCCUGUGUUGUUGAAAUGGUCUAACCACUUUGAUUAAAGUAGGAAACUAGCAACAAUAAACAAGGAGAGAUUCUUUAAAGGGUGAAAGAGAAGUUAUACAACGUCGUGGAGCUGCCGACCCCGUCCAAACGGCGUGUGAAUUGAAUAUUCCGGCUGUUUUUUUGGUGAGACUCUACUAGAGACAGAACUGUGCUGCUCAAGUCACUGUCGUCAUACUGCCUUCUGGGUUUCAUCUUCACCAUCUUCUUACCGCUCACUCGAUCUUUGCCAUCAUCAUCUCCACUACUCACAGGAUUUUCCCGUCGUUUCCCUACUCCAUUCUCUGAGGAGCCAGGAUGGACAGUUUUACCUGCUAAGGGUGGUGAACAGCAAGACUCGUGGGAUUCCACCAGCUCCUCAUCAUCAGACUCCUCGGAGAAAGGGAA
This is a long non-coding RNA of Perca fluviatilis (European perch), 629 nucleotides long. RefSeq lists it as uncharacterized. NCBI's taxonomy places the organism in Eukaryota, Metazoa, Chordata, Actinopteri, Perciformes, Percidae. The transcript is spliced from 3 exons. The record is from RefSeq and is a predicted model, not a curated record.